ACAUCCACUUUUUACCUGUAAAUCUCUCAAGCAAGGAAAACCCUUCAAUGGUGAAGUUUGAAAACGACGUGUUUCUACCGACGGAUGAGCCUCACGGAUCGAUAGAAGCAACGUUAAGCCGUCUUACGUCGAAAAUGUAAGGUAGGUAAGGCAGUUUGGUCUCCCUCCAGUGAGGAAGCAAAACAGAGCAAACUACUCCGUUUUUACAUAUUCUCCUGAUCAAUGCAACCUGCCGGCUUUUGUCUGAAUGAGGCGGCCAUUGUUAAGACGUUUUGGUGGCUCCGUGUUGUAAUGUUGUGUCGAAUUAUAUUAUAUUAUAUUAUGUCAGUUUACAGUUUGAUUAUGUUUUGAUUUAGUACUAAUUAUACAGACAUUGGAGGGAAACCCAAUCUUAGCUCAUUUAUAUU
This is a long non-coding RNA of Tarenaya hassleriana, 407 nucleotides long. RefSeq lists it as uncharacterized. Lineage: Eukaryota; Viridiplantae; Streptophyta; Magnoliopsida; Brassicales; Cleomaceae. The record is from RefSeq and is a predicted model, not a curated record. The transcript has 2 exons.